GAUGAACGCUGACAGAAUGCUUAACACAUGCAAGUCAUUGGCGAAGCUGCGCUUGCGCAGUCUAGCCAAGGCGGACGGGUGAGUAACGCGUAAGGAACUUGCCCUGCAGACAGGGAUAACAGACGGAAACGACUGAUAACACCUGGUAUUGUCAGGCUGGCGCAUGCCGGCCUGAUGAAAGGAGACGCUGCAGGAGAGCCUUGCGUCCUAUUAGCUAGUUGGUGGGGUAACGGCCCACCAAGGCGAUGAUAGGUAGCCGGCCUGAGAGGGUGAACGGCCACAAGGGGACUGAGAUACGGCCCUUACUGCUACGGGAGGCAGCAGUGGGGAAUAUUGGACAAUGGGGGCAACCCUGAUCCAGCAAUUCUGUGUGCACGAAGAAGGUUUUCGGAUUGUAAAGUGCUUUCAGCAGGGAAGAAGAAAGUGACGGUACCUGCAGAAGAAGCGACGGCUAAAUACGUG
Molecule: ribosomal RNA, 462 nt
Filed under: uncultured bacterium
Lineage: Bacteria
Description: partial 16S ribosomal RNA
Rfam family: Bacterial small subunit ribosomal RNA
Source: RNAcentral